RNAcentral lists this ribosomal RNA (460 nucleotides) under uncultured bacterium. RNAcentral's name for it is "partial 16S ribosomal RNA". It matches the Rfam family "Bacterial small subunit ribosomal RNA", at positions 338 to 795 of the family's 1533-position model. The record is from RNAcentral.
CCUACGGGAGGCUGCAGUGAGGAAUAUUGGUCAAUGGACGAGAGUCUGAACCAGCCAAGUAGCGUGAAGGAUGACUGCCCUAUGGGUUGUAAACUUCUUUUAUAAAGGAAUAAAACGAGGCACGUGUGCCUUUUUGCAUGUACUUUAUGAAUAAGGAUCGGCUAACUCCGUUCCAGCAGCCGCGGUAAUACGGAGGAUCCGAGCGUUAUCCGGAUUUAUUGGGUUUAAAGGGAGCGUAGAUGGGUUGUUAAGUCAGUUGUGAAAGUUUGCGGCUCAACCGUAAAAUUGCAAUUGAUACUGGCAGUCGUGAGUACAGUUGAGGUAGGCGGAAUUCGUGGUGUAGCGGUGAAAUGCUUAGAUAUCACGAAGAACCCCGAUUGCGAAGGCAGCUUACUAAACUGUGACUGACAUUGAUGCUCGAAAGUGUGGGUAUCAAACAGGAUUAGAUACCCGUGUAGUC